CUGCCGCCGCCCCUCAGGAACUGGGACGGGGGCAGCCGGGCGCCGAGAGAGCUCUCGCUGCGCCCUGGUGGGCUUCAAAGCGCGCACGAAGUGCUCCUGGGGGCCCGGACCCGCUCUGCGGUAGCGAGGCGAGAACAGGCAUUUGUCUUCGGGUGUCGGCGUUUUAGCGUCUGGUAAAUUAAGGGGACGGCUCUCAUGUGCUCACGGGCUUUCACCGCGCCUUCCCCGGUCUCAUCGUGAGCUGCUUGAAGGCAAAAGCAAAGGGUCACACCUCGCGUAGCGCACCUGAGCCUCGUGAAGGCAAAAAGCGAGCAGAGAUCGUCUCGUGAGACAUAAACUCAUACUUCAGUCUUUAAUGAUGCUACAAAAUAAUGUAGAAUUGCUCAAUAGGGGGUAUUUCAAACGUUUUAAGUUUUCCUUGAGCUUUACAGUUAACAGCUGCACAACUGGCAUAUGAACAGCUGUUCAUCGGCACUGAAGAAUGGACGACUCUAGUGAAGCUACACCAGAAAGCAUAAUUCAUGGAAACUGCCUCGCUCGGUUAGGGUCUUCAGUAUUUGGGCAGAUGUGGGUGCUCUUUUGAGGAAGUAAAGAAUCCACUAGAUCUACAACAGAAAGAUUUUACUGUGAACUUUCCACUGAUUAAGCUGUGCCUUCUCGUUGGCCCUUCUACAGCUGUGGAAAGUGCAGUUAGCUGUGGUUUUAUUUACUGGUUUCUAUAUGGCAGCCCUGUUUCAAGGUGAGAACAAAUCCAUGCAUUUUGUCUGACAAUGAGGAAGCUUGCCUCAACAAUGAAUCUGCAAAGGACUCUAUGUUAGCUGUUUUGACAAGAAUGUCGUAACAAAUUAAAAUAUAGCCUCUAUUGGCAGCUGAGCAGGAAGGAUCACCUCUCGCAUUGUCAUUUAACAGAUUUCAUAACCUAGUGACUAAGAAGAGAAGGAAAUGGCGUUUGAAUUUACCAGAUAUGAUUUGUGUGUUUAGUAAACAAGAACACUUCAACAUAUAAUUUAUUUUAAUUUGUGCAUUAAAAAAAAAAAAAAAAAAAAAAAAAAAAAAGUUACUUGGCUACUAGGACAGGAGGACAGGCAAAUGGAGACAUUUAGACAUUUCAAGACAGCAGCCAGAGGCAAUUUUCAGCUCUAGCAUUCUUUAAUUUAUAGGAAAGAAGAUUGAGAAUCACAUGUUAAGAUUUGUGAAUUUCACAGCCCUGUUCAGAGACUUCAUUCCUUUCCCAGAUCCCCGUACUCCAUUGUCAUAUUAUCCUAACAAACUGAGUUUCCUCCUUACUGAUUCCCAUUUGUAUUUGGUUUACUGAACCUCUUUACUUUUCCUGUUCUUCUAGAUACAGCAUUGCCUCUCCAGCAUUCCAAAGGCAGACUCCAGCUUCAAAGAGUUGCAAGGCUGGUAUCAAAAGAACAAGAUUAAAAUAGAGCUCUUGUUAAGUUCUUGACAUGGCAGGAGAAAGGGCCAACAGCUCCUACAGUAAAAAGAGAGAGAGAAGGAGAGAACAGGGGAACUGUUCACCACAGGGCUGGAGGAUAAAUUAUUUCAAAGUUAAGGUACGGUGCAUUCUCUUGUUUUUGUGAAGUUACUGGUUUCAGAGGAUUUUUCUAUUUACAUUCACAUGGUGUCCAGACUGCUCUUCCUUCUCCAUGACCCGAGUGUCUAGAGCUGUACUUAACAGAAUGUUUAUUUGUAAUAAAUCAAUUUUAGAAUGUGUUUUUAAAAAGCAAUCUCAGUAUGCGAGUUAGUGAAGUGCCAUACAUACUGGGAACUCGUAUAUUCAGUUAUAAAAAAGUAUAACCCACUCAGAAUAUGUUUACAGGUUUUUGUUUGCAUUUCAAGUGAGCUGGGAGCCAAAACAGUGUAGGACCGUUACAGAUACAGAAAAGCACAUACCUUCUCUUGAGUGUACACAGUUAGAAGGCUGCCACUCUCCUAAUUUUGGAGAAGCAAUUCUUAAGCAGCAUGCUUAUGUUCUGCUUACCUAGUAGCUUUAAGGCCCAGGUACUUAAGUCCUCAGGAAUUUCAAGUAUCAAAAAGCAGAAAGGUCAUAGCCAUCAUUUACAAUUCAUGGCCUAUUUUACUCUUCAAUGACUAAGAAGAAAGAUUUUUUUUAUCCCAAGUGUUCUACCUUUCCACUGAAAGUAUGUAUUUCUGAGGAAUAAAAUGUGUGCUGUUUGGAUACAAAGGCUGGAAAAUUUAGAUUUGUAGCAAUGCAAACGUCUAGUCGAG
This is a long non-coding RNA of Oxyura jamaicensis (ruddy duck), 2235 nucleotides long. RefSeq lists it as uncharacterized. The transcript has 3 exons. NCBI's taxonomy places the organism in Eukaryota, Metazoa, Chordata, Aves, Anseriformes, Anatidae. The record is from RefSeq and is a predicted model, not a curated record.